UAGGUGGUUUGUUACGUCGGUUGUGAAAUUCAGGCCGCUCAACCCCCGACUUGCAGCCGAUACGGGCAAGCUAGAGUUUGGUAGGGGAGACUGGAAUUCCUGGUGUAGCGGUGGAAUGCGCAGAUAUCAGGAGGAACACCGAUGGCGAAGGCAGGUCUCUGGGCCAAUACUGACACUGAGGAGCGAAAGCGUGGGGAGCGAACAGGAUUAGAUACCCUGGUAGUCCACGCCGUAAACGGUGGGCGCUAGUUGUGCGAACCUUCCACGGUUUGUGCGACGCAGCUAACGCAUUAAGCGCCCCGCCUGGGGAGUACGAUCGCAAGAUUAAAACUCAAAGGAAUUGACGGGGCCCCGCACAAGCAGCGGAGCAUGCGGCUUAAUUCGACGCAACGCGAAGAACCUUACCAAGGCUUGACAUAUACAGGAAUAUGGCAGAGAUGUCAUAGCCGCAAGGUCUGUAUACAGGUGGUGCAUGGUUGUCGUCAGCUCGUGUCGUGAGAUGUUGGGUUAAGUCCCGCAACGAGCGCAACCCUCGUUCUGUGUUGCCAGCAUUUAGUUGGGGACUCACAGGAGACUGCCGGGGUUAACUCGGAGGAAGGUGGGGAUGACGUCAAAUCAUCAUGCCCCUUAUGUCUUUGGGCUGCACGCAUGCUACAAUGGCUGGUACAAACGGCUGCGAUACCGCAAGGUGGAGCGAAUCCGAU
RNAcentral lists this ribosomal RNA (704 nucleotides) under uncultured bacterium. Its description in RNAcentral is "bacterial SSU rRNA". It matches the Rfam family "Bacterial small subunit ribosomal RNA", at positions 572 to 1277 of the family's 1533-position model. The record is from RNAcentral.